GACUAUUCCAUGAUUUUGAUUAUUAUGAAAUCAAAGAUAAUUGAUGAUGAAGGACAGAACCACCAAGAAUAGUAGUUGAGGAGUGACGACGGUUGCAUGCAUGACUAGUUGGGCACUAGUGUCAUAUUUAGCAAAUGAGAUCACAUAAUUGUGCAAGCAGUUGCAUUGUCUUCACAUAAAUAUUCAUCACAACGACUCACAUAACAAGGUCUGCCACCACCAUAACUAUCAUAAACUGGUCUUCCAUAAUACCCAUCGUAACAACUUAUUGGUGCUGGUGGUGGCCCACCGUAACCUUCAAAGCAUGGCCCACCUCCCCUACCUUCAUAGCAUGGCGUACAACACACUCCAAUUGGAACUGCCAUAGGUGGUGGACACACCGGAAUAUAAGGUGCCGGUUCCGGCAUAGGCUGCGGUGGCGGAGCGGGUUUUUCUUUUGGCUUCUCAGGUUGUUUUGGUGGUUCAGGCUUCGGCUCAGGUGGUGGAGGUGCAGGCUUUUCUUUGGGUUUCUCAGGCUCUUUGGGCUUUUCAGGCUCCUUGGGCUUUUCAGGUUCUUUGGGCUUCUCAGGCUCCUUUGGUUUUUCAGGGUUUUUUGGCUUCUCUGGUUCUUUGGGCUUUUCAGGCUCUUUGGGCUUGACGGGUUCCUUGGGCUUUUCUGGUUCUUUAGGCUUGGGAGGUGGAGGAGGUUCGACAAUUUCUAUGCUUUUGAUGGCACCACAACCUUUGCAACAAAUCUUGUCUCUUAUCUUCUCGGGGCUACAACAAACCACUGUGAUUGUCACGAUGUUGUUCUUCUCAUCGUACACCUGGUCUCGAAUUUCUCUUGUUCACAAAUAUUUUUACAAACACCAAACAACAAAAAAAUCAACUCAAUUUGAUAUCUUCUUACAAAAUAUAAUAAUUUCAUUAAUCUAUAUAUAGG
Molecule: long non-coding RNA, 922 nt
Filed under: Medicago truncatula (barrel medic)
Lineage: Eukaryota; Viridiplantae; Streptophyta; Magnoliopsida; Fabales; Fabaceae
Description: lncRNA gene27998
Source: RNAcentral